Molecule: non-coding RNA, 84 nt
Filed under: Alkalibacter saccharofermentans
Lineage: Bacteria; Bacillati; Bacillota; Clostridia; Eubacteriales; Eubacteriaceae
Also listed under: 1 other name
Description: c-di-GMP sequence
Rfam family: c-di-GMP-I riboswitch aptamer
About the family: GEMM was predicted in a large-scale screen for bacterial structured RNA regulatory elements. Genes associated with GEMM are involved in a diverse array of functions, including chemotaxis regulation, signal transduction, secretion and chitin.
Source: RNAcentral
CAGCGAUAAAGGCAAACCAGUCGAAAGGCUGGGACGCAAAGCCAAGGGUCUUACCUUUUUAAAGGAAGAUAGCCGGUUACCGAA